This 496-nucleotide ribosomal RNA is filed under the name uncultured bacterium. Its description in RNAcentral is "partial 16S ribosomal RNA". It matches the Rfam family "Bacterial small subunit ribosomal RNA", at positions 29 to 507 of the family's 1533-position model. The record is from RNAcentral.
AUGAACGCUGGCGGCGUGCCUAAUACAUGCAAGUCGAGCGAACAGACGAGGAGCUUGCUCCUCUGACGUUAGCGGCGGACGGGUGAGUAACACGUGGAUAACCUACCUAUAAGACUGGGAUAACUUCGGGAAACCGGAGCUAAUACCGGAUAAUAUAUUGAACCGCAUGGUUCAAUAGUGAAAGACGGUUUUGCUGUCACUUAUAGAUGGAUCCGCGCCGCAUUAGCUAGUUGGUAAGGUAACGGCUUACCAAGGCAACGAUGCGUAGCCGACCUGAGAGGGGGACGGCCCACAGGGGAACUGAAACAGGCACCAGCCCCCGGGGGGGGGCAGAGGAGGGAAAUCUUCCGAAGUGGCGGAAACCCGGACGAAACACCGCGGGGUGAGAGAAAAAGGUCUUCGGUCCGAAAACCUUUUUUAUUGGGGAAAAAAAAAUGUAAAAGUAACUGUCCACGUCUGGACGGGACCAAAUCAAAAAGCCACGGCUAACUACGCG